CUGCGUGCCGUGAUCAUGGACGCGCCGGGCUCGGGCAAGGGCACCGCGUCAGCGCGCAUCCCGCAGCACUUCGAGCUCAAGCACCUCUCCAGCGGCGACCUGCUGUGGCACAACAUGCUGCAGGGCACAGAAAUUGGUGUGUUAGCCAAGACUUUCAUUGACCAAGGGAAGCUUAUUCCAGAUGAUGUCAUGACUUGACUGGCCCUGCAUGAGCUGAAAAAUCUCACCGAGUGCAGCUGGCUGUUGGAUGGUUUUCCCAGGACACUUCCACAGGCAGAAGCCCUGGACAAAGCCUAUCAGAUAGACACAGUGAUCAAGCUGAAUGUGCCCUUUGAGGUCAUUAAACAGCGUCUCACUGCUCGCUGGAUUCAUCUAGGCAGCGGCAGAGUCUACAACAUUGAAUUCAACCCUCCCAAAACUGUGGGUAUUGAUGAUCUGACUGGAGAGCCUCUGGUUCAACGUGAGGAUGAUAAACCGGAGACAGUGACCAAGAGACUCAAGGCUUACGAAGCCCAAACAGAGCCGGUCCUGGAAUAUUACCAGAAAAAAGGGGUGUUGGAAACAUUUUCUGGAACAGAAACAAACAAGAUCUGGCCACAUGUAUAUGCCUUCCUACAAACAAAAGUGCCACAGAAGAGCCAGCAAGCCUCCAUUACUCCAUGAGAGAAAAGCACGUACCUAGUAAGAUGAGCAGAAGAAACUCUUCUGUGCCUUUCGCAGCUUGU
This is an RNA transcript of Octodon degus (degu), 725 nucleotides long. It is a transcript of the gene named GTP:AMP phosphotransferase AK3, mitochondrial pseudogene, with no coding region annotated. The record is from RefSeq and is a predicted model, not a curated record. The transcript has a single exon. Lineage: Eukaryota; Metazoa; Chordata; Mammalia; Rodentia; Octodontidae.